RNAcentral lists this long non-coding RNA (865 nucleotides) under Fukomys damarensis (Damara mole-rat). Its description in RNAcentral is "lncRNA (ENSFDAG00000027780.1)". Lineage: Eukaryota; Metazoa; Chordata; Mammalia; Rodentia; Bathyergidae. The record is from RNAcentral.
CUUCAGUAAGCAAGUAGUGGUCUGUGUUUCCCUAUUCCCUCAAAUCGAAGCUGAAUAUUAAGCUGAUUCUUACCUGACUGGUUGAUGGAUCUUGUUUCUUAUCCAGUUCCUUUAGGUGCUUCUUAGACAAUUCAGGACUUGGGUUCUUGUUUCCUCUUUCUAACAAAUAACCCCUGUCCUUAUGACCCAGACAGGGAAGCCUGGACCAGAGUGGACCCCAACCCAUAGGAAAUGAGGCACUGUGCAGGCCUGGCUCCUAAUAUUUCCUCCCCAGAGGGUGAGCUAGAGAUACCAUGAUGAGAUACCCUGUGUGGAGUACCUGAACAAGAGCCUGCAGAGGGCACCUGGGACCAGGCUGCCUUUCAGGAGUCACUUCAAGAAAUGCUGAGCUAAAUGAAAUGUGAAAAGGAAAAGGAAAUCAUGGUGAAAGAUCAUCAUAAGAGGUUUGGGUUUUCACAGUGUAAUGCCACACAGUAUGAAAAACUGCUUCUGUGAUCACACCAACCAGAGGGAACAAAGGUCUCUUCCAAUUUAUCUUCUACCCCUACUUGCAAAAAAAAGCAGGCAUAUCGUCUUGCUACAAAGGUGGAAUUCCUGUUUCCAGCAGUUAUCCAGAUACAAUAUCCACAUAAGCCAGUAGUGACAUUGAUUGAUCGAUUGAUUGAGUUACUCAAAGAUGACCGAGAAGGUACCAGUUAACUUUUUACAUUUUAUGUGAUUUUCUUUUAAAGCUUAAGUGCUUCUGUUUUUUUGUUUAGAUACCGGGGAUCGAACUCAGCACCUUGUGCUUGCGAAGCAGGCAGCAGAACCACUGAGCUAAAUCCCCAGCCCUUAAGUGUUAAGAUGUGAGUUGAAACAAAGAAUU